GGACUACUGGGGUUUCUAAUCCUGUUUGAUACCCACACUUUCGUGCAUGAGUGUCAGUAAAAGCCAAGUGAGCUGCCUACGCAAUUGGAGUUCUUGAUAAUAUCUAUGCAUUUCACCGCUACACUAUCAAUUCCGCCCACCUCUACUUUACUCAAGUCUACCAGUUUCAAUGGCACUGCAAUCGUUGAGCGACCGUCUUUCACCACUGACUUAAUAAACCACCUGCGCACCCUUUAAACCCAAUAAAUCCGGACAACGCUUGCACCCUCCGUAUUACCGCGGCUGCUGGCAC
Molecule: unclassified non-coding RNA, 292 nt
Filed under: uncultured fungus
Lineage: Eukaryota; Fungi
Description: sequence contains ITS1
Source: RNAcentral